This 202-nucleotide ribosomal RNA is filed under the name uncultured prokaryote. Its description in RNAcentral is "partial 16S ribosomal RNA". It matches the Rfam family "Bacterial small subunit ribosomal RNA", at positions 524 to 725 of the family's 1533-position model. The record is from RNAcentral.
UACGUAGGCAGCAAGCGUUGUUCGGAAUUACUGGGCGUAAAGAGUGUGUAGGCGGUGUUCUAAGUCUGUCGUGAAAUCUCCCGGCUUAACCGGGAGGGUGCGGCGGAAACUGGAAUGCUUGAGGGUGGGAGAGGUAAGCGGAAUUCCUGGUGUAGCGGUGAAAUGCGUAGAUAUCGGGAGGAACACCAAUUGCGAAGGCAGC